AAUGACCUGCUUAGAGUUCUGCGCCCCCCAGCAUGGAGAGCAGAGCGCAAAGAUUUCCUCCAGACUCCCACAUUCUCCCUUGGAAUCCAAGAACUUGUCUACUAUCACAACACUUUAGUACCCACUUAUGGAGUUUUGCUCUUGUUGCCCAAUCUAGAGUGCAAUGGUGCAAUCUGGGCUCACCGCAACCUCAGCCUCCCAUGUUCAAGCGAUUCUUCUGCCUUAGCCUCCCGAGUAGCUGGGAUUACAGCUCCUAAGGAGGCAGCAGAAACCAAGGUAAUCACAAUGGUCAACAGCAGCGAAGGCAGCACUUUCUGAUUUUAAACUUGACUGCUAUGGAUGCCACCUCAGUUUAAUAUCUGUAAGUUUGGACAGGAGGUGUCCUGGUGAUUAGCUGGAGCUCUGGGGAGCUGUUGCUGAAAUUAACUUGAGUGCUUUGGAGAGAGAUUUACAUGGAAGAGUGGAGCCAGGGCUGCUCCUUUGGCAGGCACUGCUGUGCCACUGUGGAGGCGCCCCUGCUUUUCCCAUGCUGUGCAAUGUCCUCAAA
Molecule: non-coding RNA, 547 nt
Filed under: Pongo abelii (Sumatran orangutan)
Lineage: Eukaryota; Metazoa; Chordata; Mammalia; Primates; Hominidae
Source: RNAcentral